RNAcentral lists this ribosomal RNA (708 nucleotides) under Triticum aestivum (bread wheat). RNAcentral describes it as "partial small subunit ribosomal RNA". The record is from RNAcentral. Lineage: Eukaryota; Viridiplantae; Streptophyta; Magnoliopsida; Poales; Poaceae.
AUGUCUUUACGUAAUUUUUGUGCGGUAUGCAAAAUACUCUUUGAGGGUAAAUUAGAUGAACCAAAUCGUAAAUAUGUGGAUGGCUUUGUUAACACCAUCACUGUAGGGGAUCCAAAGAAGGGUUCCGAUGCGAGAAUAUCUAGCAUACACUUUCCUGUUUUACACUACUUUGCCAUAUUUGCUAGUAGAUGCUUAAUUGGUCAUGGAAAUAGUGGAAACUUCAAUGUUCCUGAUAUUAUUAUUCUUCUCCAUGCCUUGUUUGGUGAUAAUAGUUUUGGUAUGGGUGCCGUCAUUGCUAAACAGCUAAGCCUGAAUCGUACAAAAGGCCCCAUCUUUGGAGGUAUCUAUGCUGCACGUCUUGCUAAACAUUUUGAGAUACCUAUUAGGCACCAUGAAAAAGAGGAGAAAAUAUUGCCUCCUUACGUUUUAGAUUACAGGAGCAUGGUAGCGCAUGAGUUUAUUGUUGACAACGAAGAUAAGAUGCUUCUGUAUAACCUGAGAUUUAAUAAGAAAUACAAUGAGACUAUUAUUCUGCCUGCGCCUCUGUUGUUUGAUUUGACUGCAGAUAAUUUUCUUGUCAUGCCGGAAGCGGUGUACACUCAUCGAGGCCAAGCGUCCACUCCAGAGCCUGAACCUGAGCCGGAACCUUCACUGGACCCUUAUCGUGCAUCAUCUUACCAGUGGGAUCCGGAGGAAAUGGCCAGCUAG